UACGUAGGGUGCAAGCGUUGUCCGGAAUUAUUGGGCGUAAAGAGCUCGUAGGCGGUUUGUCGCGUCGAAUGUGAAAACCCGGGGCUCAACCCCGGGCCUGCAUUCGAUACGGGCAGACUAGAGUUCGGUAGGGGAGUCUGGAAUUCCUGGUGUAGCGGUGAAAUGCGCAGAUAUCAGGAAGAACACCAAUGGCGAAGGCAGCUCUCUGGGACGGUACUGACGCUGAGACGCGAAAGCGUGGGGAGCGAACAGG
Molecule: ribosomal RNA, 253 nt
Filed under: uncultured bacterium
Lineage: Bacteria
Description: partial 16S ribosomal RNA
Rfam family: Bacterial small subunit ribosomal RNA
Source: RNAcentral